RNAcentral lists this long non-coding RNA (325 nucleotides) under Gossypium raimondii (Peruvian cotton). RNAcentral describes it as "long non-coding RNA (GRAI_LNC005580)". The record is from RNAcentral. Lineage: Eukaryota; Viridiplantae; Streptophyta; Magnoliopsida; Malvales; Malvaceae.
UGGUACAUUGGCAUUGAAAUGGACACACGGGGACAACACAUCCCCUCAUUAUCUCGCACAACAGCACCUGAGCGGGAUUCAAGCGUGCCCAGUCUGAAACCCGCAUCAAAAUUCAUCUUUACAAGAGGGUGCACCGGAGGGGACCACCUAACAGUCGACUGCAUCUGUUCCCCUGGUAGCCGACUCUCAAGCUCCUCAAUUCCAAAGUACAGUACAAUGUUAUAUGAUUGGCCAAAGCUUGUAUUGCGCCUUCAUGAAUAAACUUGUUCGGAGCUGUCCAAUGGGCUCAACAAGCAACAAAAAUCACCCGUUCUAAUGCUCCCCC